CCUACGAGUGGCUGCAGUCGAGAAUCAUUCACAAUGGGGGAAACCCUGAUGGUGCGACGCCGCGUGGGGGAAUGAAGGUCUUCGGAUUGUAAACCCCUGUCAUGUGGGAGCAAAUUAAAAAGAUAGUACCACAAGAGGAAGAGACGGCUAACUCUGUGCCAGCAGCCGCGGUAAUACAGAGGUCUCAAGCGUUGUUCGGAAUCACUGGGCGUAAAGCGUGCGUAGGCUGUUUCGUAAGUCGUGUGUGAAAGUCGCGGGCACAACCCGCGAACGGGAACUGAUACUGCGAGACUAGAGUAAUGGAGGGGGAACCGGAAUUCUCGGUGUAGCAGUGAAAUGCGGAGAUAUCGAGAGGAACACUCGUGGCGAAGGCGGGUUCCUGGACAUUAACUGACGCUGAGGCACGAAGGCCAGGGGAGCGAAAGGGAUUAGAUACCCCUGUAGUC
Molecule: ribosomal RNA, 446 nt
Filed under: uncultured bacterium
Lineage: Bacteria
Description: partial 16S ribosomal RNA
Rfam family: Bacterial small subunit ribosomal RNA
Source: RNAcentral